GACGAACGCUGGCGGCGUGCUUAACACAUGCAAGUCGAACGGAAAGGCCCUGCUUUUGUGGGGUGCUCGAGUGGCGAACGGGUGAGUAACACGUGAGUAACCUGCCCUUGACUUUGGGAUAACUUCAGGAAACUGGGGCUAAUACCGGAUAGGAGCUCCUGCUGCAUGGUGGGGGUUGGAAAGUUUCGGCGGUUGGGGAUGGACUCGCGGCUUAUCAGCUUGUUGGUGGGGUAGUGGCUUACCAAGGCUUUGACGGGUAGCCGGCCUGGGAGGGUGACCGGCCACAUUGGGACUGAGAUACGGCCCAGACUCCUACGGGAGGCAGCAGUGGGGAAUAUUGCAGAAUGGGCGGAAGCCUGAUGCAGCAACGCCGCGUGCGGGAUGACGGCCUUCGGGUUGUAAACCGCUUUCGCCUGUGACGAAGCGUGAGUGACGGUAAUGGGUAAAGAAGCACCGGCUAACUACGUG
RNAcentral lists this ribosomal RNA (468 nucleotides) under uncultured bacterium. RNAcentral's name for it is "partial 16S ribosomal RNA". It matches the Rfam family "Bacterial small subunit ribosomal RNA", at positions 28 to 507 of the family's 1533-position model. The record is from RNAcentral.